GAGAGAAUAAGAAAGAAAUGCAUUUCAAAAAGAAAAAGGCCCAAUCAGAGCAAUCAAGUUGUUUUAAACGUGAAGUCAAUUCAUUUCCAAGUUGGAAAACAAGUGUAACACCGUUGGGAUUUGAGCAUCACCCAUGUCAUUGCAUCUACAGAUGGAAAUGGAGCUUGCAGAAGAGCCCUUAAGAUCUUGAUUGGCAUCUUAGAUGGGAAAUGGAUACUGAACAUUGAGUGUUACCAUCAGUUUCUCUGGAAUGAUUUUAUAUGCUCAAAUUUUGGAAGUUACAAGCACCUCUACAUGUUGAAGAUUAGCAUACGUAUAUGCUAUAUAUAAUGUAAUAAUACUUCUUGUUAACUUUUGCUUUCUGCAGGGGUUAAGGCUUGGACGAAGGCAAUGAAACUUGUUCAAGAAGGCCAAUAUGAAAUUGUAGUGGAUGUUCAUGGAAUCAGGGAUGCCCCGCGACUUGGAAGACUAAGAAUCCUAAACAAGGUAUGCUUGCAAGUGUCAUUUGCACUCUAGGGAUUUGUCCUCUCAUUUGUGAGCCUCACGCUUGCACGUGUCUAAUCUUUAUGGGCAUUGAUUGUCUUGUUCUCUUUCCUUUUUUCAAUCCAAUCUUAUUCUCUCUGUGACAAAAUCGCUCAUUAGAAAUAAUUCUGUGGUUUUGAAAAUUUGCUUCUGUUGGAUUGUAACAUAGUGCCAGCUUUCAUCAGAACUAGAAUAUUGCUCUGCCGUCUUAGACAUCAUACUUCCAUCGCUACGAGACUUCUGUGCAUGCGGUAUCUUAAUUUUAAUUCCAGCUUAUGGAGAUAAUUCUGCUACAGGUUUUUUUCAUCGCUUAUUAAGCAUAGUCCUAACAGCAUUGUUCUUGCUUGUGUUCACUGAGACAUGCUCGUUUGUGUACACAGUUUAUUAAGAAAUUUUAUUUUGCAACAACUAAAAUUUUUGAGGGGUUUAACUUCUAUUUGAUGGAAAAUACUGUAGCUUGUUAUAAGGGUUAUAUUCAAGAUCUU
This 1007-nucleotide unclassified non-coding RNA is filed under the name Hevea brasiliensis (rubber tree). Lineage: Eukaryota; Viridiplantae; Streptophyta; Magnoliopsida; Malpighiales; Euphorbiaceae. The record is from RNAcentral.